UACGUAGGCAGCGAGCGUUGUUCGGAGUUACUGGGCGUAAAGCGUGCGUAGGCGGUUUGUCGCGUCGGGAGUGAAAACCAGAGGCUUAACUUCUGGCUUGCUUUCGAUACGGGCAGACUUGAGGCAUGCAGGGGAGAACGGAAUUCCUGGUGUAGCGGUGAAAUGCGUAGAGAUCUGGAAGAACACCAAAGGCGAAGGCAGCGUUCUGGGAAGUAUCUGACGCUCAUGUGCGAAAGCUAGGGGAGCGAACGGG
This 253-nucleotide ribosomal RNA is filed under the name uncultured bacterium. RNAcentral describes it as "partial 16S ribosomal RNA". It matches the Rfam family "Bacterial small subunit ribosomal RNA", at positions 524 to 776 of the family's 1533-position model. The record is from RNAcentral.